RNAcentral lists this ribosomal RNA (655 nucleotides) under uncultured forest soil bacterium. Its description in RNAcentral is "bacterial SSU rRNA". It matches the Rfam family "Bacterial small subunit ribosomal RNA", at positions 64 to 767 of the family's 1533-position model. The record is from RNAcentral.
GAACGCACCGCAAGGUGAGUGGCGCACGGGUGAGUAACGCGUGGGAACCUGCCCUGGAGUGGGGGAUAACCCGGCGAAAGCCGGGCUAAUACCGCAUACGUCCUGAGGGAGAAAGAUUUAUCGCUCUAGGAGGGGCCCGCGUCGGAUUAGCUAGUUGGUGAGGUAACGGCUCACCAAGGCGACGAUCCGUAGCUGGUCUGAGAGGAUGAUCAGCCACACUGGGACUGAGACACGGCCCAGACUCCUACGGGAGGCAGCAGUGGGGAAUAUUGGACAAUGGGGGCAACCCUGAUCCAGCAAUGCCGCGUGAGUGAUGAAGGCCUUAGGGUUGUAAAGCUCUUUCGGCGGGGACGAUGAUGACGGUACCCGCAGAAGAAGCCCCGGCUAACUUCGUGCCAGCAGCCGCGGUAAUACGAAGGGGGCAAGCGUUGUUCGGAAUUACUGGGCGUAAAGGGCGCGCAGGCGGCCGACGUAGUCAGGCGUGAAAGCCCCGGGCUUAACCUGGGAAUUGCGUUUGAUACUCGUUGGCUGGAGUUCGGGAGAGGAUGGUGGAAUUCCCAGUGUAGAGGUGAAAUUCGUAGAUAUUGGGAAGAAUACCGGUGGCGAAGGCGGCCAUCUGGACCGAAACUGACGCUGAGGCGCGAAAGCGUGGGGA